Molecule: ribosomal RNA, 504 nt
Filed under: uncultured bacterium
Lineage: Bacteria
Description: bacterial SSU rRNA
Rfam family: Bacterial small subunit ribosomal RNA
Source: RNAcentral
AAUCAACGCUGGCGGCGUGCCUCAGACAUGCAAGUCGAACGCGAAAGUCCCCUUCGGGGGACAAGUAGAGUGGCGCACGGGUGAGUAACACGUAGGUAAUCUACCUUCGGAUGGGGAAUAACAACCGGAAACGGUUGCUAAUACCGCAUAAUGCAGCGGCACCUAAUGGUGACAGUUGUUAAAGCGGGGGAUCGAAAGACCUCGCGUCUGAAGAGGAGCCUGCGGCGGAUUAGCUAGNGGUAAGGUAAUGGCUUACCAAGGCGACGAUCCGUAGCCGGCCUGAGAGGGCGGUCGGCCACACUGACACUGACAUACGGGUCAGACUCCUACGGGAGGCAGCAGUCGGGAAUUUUGGCAAUGGGCGAAAGCCUGACCCAGCAACGCCGCGUGAAGGAUGAAAUCCCUCGGGGAUGUAAACUUCGCAAGAACGGGAAGAAAUAAGUAGGGGACAACUACCCCCUAUGAUGACGGUACCGUUUGUAAGCUCCGGCUAACUCCGUGCCA